AUUGAACGCUGGCGGCAGGCCUAACACAUGCAAGUCGAGCGGAUGAAGGGAGCUUGCUCCUGGAUUCAGCGGCGGACGGGUGAGUAAUGCCUAGGAAUCUGCCUGGUAGUGGGGGAUAACGUCCGGAAACGGGCGCUAAUACCGCAUACGUCCUGAGGGAGAAAGUGGGGGAUCUUCGGACCUCACGCUAUCAGAUGAGCCUAGGUCGGAUUAGCUAGUUGGUGGGGUAAAGGCCUACCAAGGCGACGAUCCGUAACUGGUCUGAGAGGAUGAUCAGUCACACUGGAACUGAGACACGGUCCAGACUCCUACGGGAGGCAGCAGUGGGGAAUAUUGGACAAUGGGCGAAAGCCUGAUCCAGCCAUGCCGCGUGUGUGAAGAAGGUCUUCGGAUUGUAAAGCACUUUAAGUUGGGAGGGAGGGCAGUAAGUUAAUACCUUGCUGUUUUGACGUUACCAACAGAAUAAGCACCGGCUAACUUCG
RNAcentral lists this ribosomal RNA (482 nucleotides) under uncultured bacterium. RNAcentral describes it as "partial 16S ribosomal RNA". It matches the Rfam family "Bacterial small subunit ribosomal RNA", at positions 30 to 505 of the family's 1533-position model. The record is from RNAcentral.